UGCCGGGUCGUCUAACGGUAGGACACGGGACUUUGAAUCCCGGUAUGAAGGUCCGACUCCUUCCCCGGCAG
This 71-nucleotide transfer RNA is filed under the name Candidatus Ryanbacteria bacterium RIFCSPHIGHO2_02_FULL_45_13b. RNAcentral's name for it is "tRNA-Gln". It matches the Rfam family "tRNA". From Rfam's summary of the family: Transfer RNA (tRNA) molecules are approximately 80 nucleotides in length. Their secondary structure includes four short double-helical elements and three loops (D, anti-codon, and T loops). The record is from RNAcentral. Lineage: Bacteria; Candidatus Ryaniibacteriota.